UAAUAAUAUUAUUAUUUAAUUUUUUUGUGAUUUAUAAAAUUUAAUAGAAGUAAUUUUUUUGUUUUAUUGUCUUAGUAUAUUUUAUAGAACAGAUUUUAUUUAUUAUAGUUUAUUAGUAAAGUAAUUGGAUUUUGAAAUAUUUUUAAAUUUAAAAAAAGUAGAUUUAUUUUAUUGUACCUUUUGUAUCAGGGUUAAUCAAAAUUUUAUUAUUUAUUUAUUUAUCUCGAUUUAGGUUGAUUUAAAAUUAAUUUAAAUUUAAUGUAUCAUAAUUAUUUUAAAAUUAAUUUUAGAAAUGAAAUGUUAUUCGUUUCCUAAUAUAUCUAGUUUCUUAAGAAAAAAUUUAAUUUUUAGUGGUUAGUAGUUUUUAUUUAAUUUUUUAGAUUUUAAUAUUAACCUAUUUAUUCUUUAGGGGAUGAGCUCUAAAGUUAAUAUCCUAUAAUUUUAUAAUUUUGAAUAUAAUAGUAGGCUUUAAACCAGUUAUCUACAGGAUUACGUUUUAGUUCAUUAUUUUUAAUAUUUAUUUUUUAAUUAUUUUAGGUAUUAUAUUAAGAUUAAAGGUUUAAUUUUAUAACUUUUGUAAUAAUGAUUGAAUUAGUAUAAUUUAUUGUUUAUAGUAUUUUAAUUUAUAAUUUAUUAUGAGGAAUUAGGCAAAUAUAAUUUCCGCCUGUUUAUCAAAAACAUGUCUUCUUGAUAAUAUUAUGAAGUCUGGCCUGCUCACUGACAAGGUUUUAAAGAGCCGCGGUAUUUUGACCGUGCAAAGGUAGCAUAAUCAUUAGUUUCUUAAUUAGGGGCUGGAAUGAAUGGCUUGACGAGAAAUUUUCUGUCUUUUAAUAAUUUAUAGAAUUUAACUUUUAAGUUAAAAGGCUUAAAUUUUUCUUUAGGACGAGAAGACCCUAUAGAGCUUUACAUUUUAUUUUUUUAUAAUUUUUUGAUGUUCUUUUUAUAAAAAAUGAUAAUGUUGUGUUGGGGUGACAUGAAGAAUAAUUAAACUCUUCAUUAUAAAAUCAUUAAUUUAUGUUAUAAUUGAUCCAUAAUUUAUGAUCAGAAGAUAAAGUUACCUUAGGGAUAACAGCGUAAUUGUUUUUGAGAGUUCAUAUCAACAAAGCAGAUUGCGACCUCGAUGUUGGAUUAAGAAAAAUUUUGGGUGCAGUAGUUCAAAAAUUAGGUCUGUUCGACCUUUAAAUUCUUACAUGAUCUGAGUUCAGACCGGCGUGAGCCAGGUCGGUUUCUAUCCUAAGUUAAUUUAUUCAUGUUAGUACGAAAGGACCAUAUGAUUAAAAUAUUUUUUUUUAAUUUUGAUUAAAAUUAAUUU
This 1312-nucleotide ribosomal RNA is filed under the name Spathosternum nigrotaeniatum. RNAcentral describes it as "16S ribosomal RNA". The stretch from base 876 to 1238 matches the Rfam family "Archaeal large subunit ribosomal RNA", at positions 2150 to 2716 of the family's 2987-position model. The record is from RNAcentral. Lineage: Eukaryota; Metazoa; Arthropoda; Insecta; Orthoptera; Acrididae.